CACCACACAGCUAGCCUUACAACCUAAAGACAACAAACAAACAUUAAUUACCCCCAACAACCCAAAUGCAAGUCGAAACAAAACAUUUUUCCCCCCUAGUAUAGGCGAUAGAAAAGGGCCUUAGAGCGAUAGAUAUAGUACCGCAAGGGAACACUGAAAGAGAAAUGAAAUAACUCAGCAAAGUAAUAAAAAGCAGAGAUUUUAACUCGUACCUUUUGCAUCAUGGUUUAGCCAGUACCCCCAAGCGAAGAGCCCUACAGUUUGAACCCCCGAAACUAAGCGAGCUACUCCAAGACAGCCUAUCAUAGGGCAAACCCGUCUCUGUGGCAAAAGAGUGGGGAGAGCUUUGAGUAGAAGUGAAAAGCCUACCGAGCCUAGUCAUAGCUGGUUGCCUGGAAAUUGGAUAAAAGUUCAGCCUCCAGGCUUUUCCGAUCACAUUUCUUUUUUCUAUCUGAUCUCGGUUGUCAACAAAAACCUGGGGAGUUAAUCAAAGGGGGUACAGCCCCUUUGAUACAAGAUACAACUUUUUUAAGAGGAUAAAGAUCCUACCAAGACAUUAAGGCAUCAUACUUAGGUAGGCCUAAAAGCAGCCAACCUUACAGAAAGCGUUAAAGCUCGAGUAUAACUAACCCUAUAAAUACUAACAAUUAUUUCUUAUUCCCUUGUACAUACCAGGCCCUCCCAUGCAAACAUGGAAGAGAUAAUGCUAAUAUGAGUAAUAAGAGGGCUACACCCCCCUCUCCCUGCACAAGUGUAAAUUGGAACGGACCCCCCACCGAACUUUAACGGUCCCAAACAAAGAGGGUAGUGAGAAAGACACCAAAAACUGGAAAACCCCCCAAAACCCACCGUUAACCCCACACUGGCGUGCUUCAAGGGAAAGACUAAAAGAAAGAGAAGGAACUCGGCAAACACAUAAAGCCUCGCCUGUUUACCAAAAACAUCGCCUCUUGCAUAAAACGAAUAAGAGGUCCCGCCUGCCCAGUGACUACAAGUUCAACGGCCGCGGUAUUUUGACCGUGCGAAGGUAGCGUAAUCAUUUGUCUUUUAAAUUAAGACCAGUAUGAAAGGUGAGACGAGGGCUUAGCUGUCUCCUCCCUCCAGUCAAUGAAAUUGAUCCCCCCGUGCAGAAGCGGGGAUUUUAACAUAAGACGAGAAGACCCUGUGGAGCUUUAGACACUCGGGCAGACUAUGUCAAGUACCCCUAAUAAAGGUGAAAACAGAGUAUGCUACUGUCCCAAUGUCUUCGGUUGGGGCGACCAUGGGGAAAUAAGAAACCCCCAAAGUGGAAUGGAAACAGACCCUUUUCUACAACUGAGAGUACCCCCUCUAGCUAACAGAACUUCUGACCACCAAGACCCGGCAAGGCCGAUCCACGGACCAAGUUACCCCAGGGAUAACAGCGCAAUCCCCUUUUAGAGACCCUAUCGCCAAGGGGGCUUACGACCUCGAUGUUGGAUCAGGACAUCCUAAUGGUGUAACCGCUAUUAAGGGUUCGUUUGUUCAACGAUUAAAGUCCUACGUGAUCUGAGUUCAGACCGGAGCAAUCCAGGUCAGUUUCUAUCUAUGGUGUGAUCUUUUCUAGUACGCAAGGACCGGGAAGAAGGAGUCAAUGUUUAUAACACACCCCACCCUUACCUAAUGAAAACAACUAAAAUAGGCAAAAGGGCAUUACACCCCCGCCUGAAAUAACGGCAU
RNAcentral lists this ribosomal RNA (1698 nucleotides) under Chaunax abei. RNAcentral describes it as "16S rRNA". The stretch from base 86 to 1607 matches the Rfam family "Bacterial large subunit ribosomal RNA". The record is from RNAcentral. Lineage: Eukaryota; Metazoa; Chordata; Actinopteri; Lophiiformes; Chaunacidae.